This 405-nucleotide ribosomal RNA is filed under the name uncultured beta proteobacterium. RNAcentral describes it as "bacterial SSU rRNA". It matches the Rfam family "Bacterial small subunit ribosomal RNA", at positions 198 to 584 of the family's 1533-position model. The record is from RNAcentral. Lineage: Bacteria; Pseudomonadati; Pseudomonadota; Betaproteobacteria.
GGAGGAAAGCAGGGGAUCGCAAGACCUUGCGCUCAUUGAGCGGCCGAUGCCUGAUUAGCUAGUCGGUGAGGUAAAGGCUUACCAAGGCGACGAUCAGUAGCUGGUCUGAGAGGACGACCAGCCACACUGGGACUGAGACACGGCCCAGACUCCUACGGGAGGCAGCGGUGGGGAAUUUUGGACAAUGGGGGAAACCCUGAUCCAGCCAUGCCGCGUGAGUGAAGAAGGCCUUCGGGUUGUAAAGCUCUUUCAGCCGGAACGAAACGGUCACGGCUAAUACCUGUGACUACUGACGGUACCGGAAGAAGAAGCACCGGCUAACUACGUGCCAGCAGCCGCGGUAAUACGUAGGGUGCGAGCGUUAAUCGGAAUUACUGGGCGUAAAGCGUGCGCAGGCGGUUUUGU